Cyanistes caeruleus (blue tit) is the source of this 5904-nucleotide non-coding RNA. The record is from RefSeq and is a predicted model, not a curated record. NCBI's taxonomy places the organism in Eukaryota, Metazoa, Chordata, Aves, Passeriformes, Paridae.
CUAAGCCUUGGUUUUCUUCUGAGAAGGAAAGAGCAAAACAACAACACCCUUUUACCAGUGCUUUUUCAUCUGGUUGUGUGGGUGGUAUGUUGAAAUAAUAGUUUGGUGGAGAUUAAAGAAAAGCAUGACUGCUGUGUAGCUGCUAUCAGAAGGGGGAAUCCCAGCUCUUUAAAGAGUGUGCACAACUAGACGUGAGCAGUGUUAUUAUAGGGUUCAAAAGAAAAACCAGCCCAAACAAUCCCCUUCUCACCAAACCUCCCCUGGGUUUCCAGCGUGUGGAGCAGUGGGCCAGGUCUGUGACUGGGAGAUCUCUGCCAGCGUGUGGCUGCUGAGUCUGCUGGGUUAAAGCAUCUCCUGCAGAGAUGGGCAGCCUUGCUCUGGAGAUUCAAGGGAUGGAGAGCCCACCAGUCCCAUGAUGCAUUUGGUGUUUUGUCCCAAUUAUCAAAGAGCACUGAUGAAAUCUCUUCUUUUUCCAGUCUGGACCCAGCAGAAGACAGUGUGCUGUUGAUGGAAAAGGAUUACACCUGCUUUAAUACAUAAGGAACACACCUACUUCAACCUUCCCACCUAAAGCAAAGCAGUCUUUAGUUCCUGGUGUUUUCUUCAAUGUAAAUUCAAGAUACCUACAGAUUAGUCUUCCUACGUGCCGGUGCUGAGCAGUAAAGCACCUCAGCAGUCUCACUUUAGUGCCUGGUAAAAUUAUGGAGACUAAUCUGUGAGUUGUUGAAGAACACUUGGAAGACAAGGCAGACACUGGUCGCAGGCAGCACAGACAACUGUAAUGGAUCAAAUGGAAAAGCAGCCCUGACAGCUGGGUCUGAAACAUGCCUGCUGCACAUGCACCCUGCCAAAGGUCAUGCUCAAGGCCAGACCUGUGCUGGCACAGUUAGAAGCCUGUGGUGAUAGGAACUCAAGAGCAAGUGGUGUUUUGUGAAAACGUUUGUGCAGUUAGCCUACAUGCAGUCACAGUAAACUGAGAAGAGACUUCAUGUGAUGGAUAAAGCAAAUAAAAGACCAAAGAGCAGAAUUCCUUUGAAGAGUGCACACAUGGGCAGUGUGCAGACAACAGAAGGCAGCAAGAGUGGUUUUCCUGGGAAGCCAAAGGUUUGCCUAGUUUGAAAUCCAGCCUCCAGUGGUGCCUCAAAGCAGCUCCUGGGGAGGAGCAGUGUAAUGGGGGCAGCUCCCAGUGUCCUCUCCCCACAGCUGCUCCCUCAAUCCACAAGUUUGCAUGUCAGGGACUGUUUCAGCAGUGGUCUUUCUACUGCUAUGCACGAGCAUGGAAAUGAUUUCCCUACACCUCUGCCUACCUCGAACACCAGAUACGCACUCACGGUUCCUUUAUUCCCUUUUCUCAUAGUGCUGUACUGGGACCCUGUGCUGUGCCAUUCAUUAGUGUGUGCAAUCUCACUUCUCCAGCUCUCACAUCAAUUAUGGGAUAACUUUUAGUGCUUUACAGGACACAGCAUUGUUCCCUGCUACAGCCUUGGGAAACCCUGAAUCUGUCAUGUCUGGGCCAAACUCAUCAAAAUAGUAACUCAGUUUGGCAAGUAAUUCUUGUUCUUUGAAAGAUGCCAAUUACCAUUUCCUAUUCAUUUCUUUUUGACUGUACUUACCCAGUUCAUCCUGUUUACCCAUUUGGAGUAUUGAUAACUGUGAGCACUUCUUCAAAUGGAAGUAGGAGAGAGAUUAUGUCAUCUCUUCUGGGAAUGCUAAUUAUCCAUAGUGCUUAUUUAAAAUAUUUUUCCCUAGUAGAUCUUGCUUAUAAGACUCUUGAUGCAACUGAGCAAAAAUGUCCAUCAGAAGCCUUAUGUUAUACGUGCACAUGUUCUUACUUCUUUCUGAAUACAGACAAAUACCUAUUUAGUACUUUUUUAAAUUUCCAUCCAUUUUACUACCAGUCUUUAGUGGUAUUCCUGCACUAUUUUUAAGCUCCUUUUGUUCUUAGUAGAAGAAAAAUUACUUUCUUUGCUCUGUUCUGAGGUGUUUCUAUAUAGUUCUAAUUUUACUUACUAAUUUCUCUCAGUUACUUCAAUUUAAGUUAACUGGCAGCUGUUUCCCCCUUUCAAAGUUGUGAUUGCUUUUCAGCUUCACACUGAUUCCUUCACUUUGCUGCUGAACCAGGAUGAAAUUUUAAGUGUGAUCUGUUUGCACUCUUGACUUGGAAAUCCCGACUUUUUGACCAUCUGAUAAGUCCUUCAUCAAAGGCCUGAACUUUCAUUUGGGUUUUUCUGCCCACAUUUUGUCUAGCAGUGAAUCUGGAUAGUAAUUUUCCUUUGAGCUAGAGAAUGUACCUUUUUAAUGCUGAGUGUUUAGGGCAGACAAAUAAUCAGGUCACAAUCAGGUCACAAUGAUGCCUGGCAUUCAGAGGUCAACAAACUUUCUACCCAGAAUUUGGUUCACCAAGGUAUGUUGCAAUGAACACCCUCAUCAUGGGUGUGACCUCAUGGGUUAAAGAAUUCACUCAAAUGCUAUUUUUCUAUUGGCUAUUUACAUCUCUAGCAUGUGUCUCCCACGUGGAGCUCUGUGUGCAUACAGAACUCUUCUGUCCACAAAUUGGAUGAGGGUUAAAUGAAUAAUGGGUUUAAAGAACAAUCAUCCUGCCUUUUGACUCUGUGACUUUGUCUGGUGGUCUGUAGCAGAUCAUUCUGCAGAUACUCUCCCUGUUCUGCUGAGCAUCUUGUAAAUCUGACCCAGCAGCUCACAAUUCCACAGUGGUGGUAAACAGAACUGCCCCCAGUCUGCCCUUCCUAAUCAACAGUUUUAUUUCAGUAUCAGACAGUCAUCUCACUGAGCUUCCGUGACAUCAGCUGCGUCAAGUUCCAUCACAAGUAACUUUCUAUUCCUCUCAUUUCUUACUGGCCCUUCUAGCGCCUAUAUAAUUGACCACAAGUUCUCUUUUUUCAUCGUUCAGUGCUUUCAUCAUUCAGUCAGCAAGCUGCUGUCUGUGUGUGGAGUUGCAUGACACACAUUCUUGGCAGUAUUUGCUGUUGCUCCUCUAACCAGCCCUCUAUGGCCCUCUCUGAAAAUGUGGGCAACCCACAUUUGACACUAUUUUUUUUUUCAGCUUCUGAUGUCACCCUUCUUCCUCAAAGACAGGAGAUAAGCAAAAGCAAAUCUGCUUGCCUCAUACCCAUUGUGCUGGCCAUCUACAGCUUAUUCAUGAGUUGUCCUGCUUUGCUUUGGUACACCAGAAUUCAGUCAAAUACAAAUAAUUUUUUGUGUGUUCAGGCUAUUAUUUUAUGUCAGAUCUGGAAGGAUGAAAACAAGAAAGACCUGAAUGCUCAUGAGAAAACCUUUAGUUUUAGGAGGUUUCAAGAACAGUUUUGCUGAUCUGUUGAUACACGUGAAUAUUGACAAGUGAAACUGCUCCUGAGUCACAUCGUUGUUACAGUAAUGAAAAAUGAAACAUCAUCUGUAGUAUCUGGGUUGAGGGAAGGUGGCUGUGAAACGAGCUGUUGUGGUGGGAAUGUCUUUCCAGAAGGAGGAAAGAAGGGGAAUAUGAGACAGUAACAGUGAGUGUGUAUGGGGAGAGAAACACCAUGGGCCAGAGAGCCUCCCACUCUGGGAGCUGCUGCAGAACAUGGCAGGGCAGUGUCCAGCAGCACAGUCCCAGCUCCUGUCACCCAGCUCCCAAACCAUUGCAGGGCAGCCAAGUCCACUCAGGACUCACCCAGGUGGAGAAGUCCUUGGUUCUGGCUGCAGAGCCUGGAAUGGACGAGGGGAACAUAAUGGACAGUCAGAGGGCUGCUGAGGCAGAGAGAGACCAGGAUCCCAUGGAUGCUGCAUUAGGGGGGUGUGGAGAGGGUCAGAGUGAGCCUUGAGAACAGUAAGGAAUGUAAGGAUGGAGAAGAGUCAUCAUUUUGCCGUGUCUAGAAAAUUAGGACAAAACUUGUAGGUAUUACAGCCCAAGUAGGCACAAAAAGGCAGGAAGAGUGGGCUGGUGCAGGGAGGUAAGGGGGGUUUCUAUAGCCAUGGCAUUUGGGAUGGAAAGUUGGGGGGAAGAAUUUUGUGCUGCUGAAGGCAGGGAUGGUGAAGGAGGUGUGGCAAUUAUUGGUGUUGGCAAGAUGAGAAACGCCCCAGAAUGGUGAUGCUAUAGGCAAAGGUAGGAGUUACUGAGGUAAAGGUAGGAGGAGAAUCUGACUGCAGGGAGAAGUUAAGGAGACAGGAGAAGAGAAGGAAAAUGAAUUUGUCAUGAAAGAAGGCAUUGGCAGGAAGGGAAUGGGUCUAAAAGAAAGGUUUAUGUAGGAAGAGCAUUCUUUGAGCUGCUCUUCCUGCAAGAACAUGCAAGGGACGUGCAAGGUCAGAAUAACUGUGCAGAUGAAAAUACCCUUCUCAGUAAAGUGGUUGCUGUGAUGGGGAAUAGGGAUCAGUCUGCCAGAGGAGGGACUGGCAAAUGGGGAUGGCACCUUCACUGGCAGGGCCUGCAGAGCUGAUGUGAGGAGCAGACUGGGCUGAAGGUUCACCAGGGUGGAUCUGGAUGGAGUCGCCACUGGAUUUGUUAGCUUCUCCUCAGAGAUGAAAAUGGUAAGGAGGAGCUUGGAAAUAGAUACUGGGCAGGUGGACAGGCGUUAUCAGUUGUCCUGGGAAGUGAAGCAUGAAACCAUGGGUUUUUGGGAAUAAGAUGUAGCUACAAGAGAGCUGAGAACACCUUCCUCAAAUGGGGAAAGGGCUGGGAGAGCUACCCCAGGGCUUUAAGGAAAUGAACCGAGGAGCUCCCCCCAGCAGGGUGUUAGGAGAACAUCUAGUGGUGGCCUGGAGUUUCGUGGGGUUUCCCUCCAUCCCUGUGACUGGUGGCCCCAUGGUGUCUUCCCAAUGACUCAGGGGAUUUCCCGAGGCCCUGCUGAGAGCUCUCUCUGCAUGCAUCAAAACUGGUUUGUGGUUGGUUUCUUUUGAGCAUCAAAACUGCAAAAGAAAUUUUCUAGCUCCUCUCUGUCUGGGAAAUGGAGUAGUCACUGGGAAAGCACAUGUCAGAUGGGAACUGGGUUGUCUGUCUGUCUCUGCCAGCUUGUGUGUCCCCAGGCAGGACUUUCUGGGUAGCUGGAUGGUAACACCUACAGCCAGGGCUGUCACCACCUUGCCAGGGUCACAGCUCCAGGUCCAAAAGGCUGCAUGAGAGACUGAAUGCAGCCCUGCUUUUGGGGGGAAAGAUAACUUUCUAAUUCUAAUUUUUGCUACUUUACUUCUUUACUGCUCAUGGAUAACCACCACAGCUCUUCUCUCCUCAUGGACAUGUGUUUCCCAUGUGUCCAAAAGAUUCGCAUGGAUAGAAAAGAACAGCUCUGUCCAGAAAGCCUCUGGGGAGAAAACCUCACCCUGGGCCAGGAGCAGCUCAACACAGCUACCUCCUGCUGCUAUCAGGCUGCUUUUAAUUUUUUCCCUGGCUAUUUAUUACAGAGACCCCCUCAGUGGUGGUGAGGAGCCUGUGCAUUCUCUUGGUGUGUAAGCACUAGGCUGGUGCUCAUUUACAUUUUCUCUGUGUUGUGACAGGCUGGCUACCUCAAUAAAUACCCUCAAAUGCUUGUUGCCCGUGCUGAGAUUCUCUUGUCCUUGUGUGACUGAAGGGAUCUCACACACUUGCAUGCAGAGGACUCAAAGGAGGCACAGAAAAGCCAUCAUAAUGUAUUCAUCCAAAGAGAGCCCUUCACAGCUUAUGCAGUCGAGGAUAGCUUCUUGUUUUUUCUUGAGUCACUCAUUGUAAAACUAUUCAAGCUACUCAGGGAUAGAGAAAGUUAUCAAGGAGUUUAAAAGAGGCAAAUUCAGACAUGUCUUGGCUGUUCAGGCUGCACAUCCAACCUUUUUGCUUGUAGAUGGAAUGUAGCCGUUUCCAUGUUGAAAAAAUAACAUGACUAAGAUGUAGUGUGUUUGAAUAAUAAAACAACCCAGUCUGGGCCCCACUGAGUGAAA